RNAcentral lists this ribosomal RNA (496 nucleotides) under uncultured bacterium. RNAcentral describes it as "partial 16S ribosomal RNA". It matches the Rfam family "Bacterial small subunit ribosomal RNA", at positions 28 to 507 of the family's 1533-position model. The record is from RNAcentral.
GACGAACGCUGGCGGCGUGCCUAAUACAUGCAAGUAGAACGCUGACGCGAGGAGCUCUCUCUCUUUGGAUGAGUUGCGAACGGGUGGGUAACGCGUACAUAACCUUCCUUGUUUUGGGGGAUAACUACGUGAAACGACAUACAAUACCACCUAAUAAUGCCUGACGCUUGACGUUUGUUAUAAUCGAGCCUAUCCCCCACUAAUAGACCGAUCUCCGUUGUAUUAGCUAGUAGGUGAGGUAACGGCCCACCUAGGCGACGAUACGUAGUCGGACUGAGAGGGUGAUCGGCCACACUGGGACUGAGACACGGCCCAGACUCCUACGGGAGGCAGCAGUAGGGAAUAUUCGGCAAUGGGGGCAAGCCUGACCGAGCAACGCCGCGUGAGUGAAGAAGGUUUUCGGAUCGUAAAGCUCUGUUGUUAGUCAAGAACGGGUGUGGGAGAGGAAAGCUCAGACUGGACGGGAAGCAUAGAAGAAGCGCAGGCUAACUUAGGG